This 911-nucleotide ribosomal RNA is filed under the name Nakazawaea ishiwadae. RNAcentral's name for it is "LSU rRNA". It matches the Rfam family "Eukaryotic large subunit ribosomal RNA", at positions 36 to 963 of the family's 3401-position model. The record is from RNAcentral. Lineage: Eukaryota; Fungi; Ascomycota; Pichiomycetes; Alaninales; Pachysolenaceae.
UAGCAUAUCAAUAAGCGGAGGAAAAGAAACCAACAGGGAUUGCCUUAGUAACGGCGAGUGAAGCGGCAAAAGCUCAAAUUUGAAAUCUAGCACUUUCAGUGUUCGAGUUGUAAUUUGAAGAAGGUAUCUUUGGAGUUGGCCCCUGUCUAUGUUCCUUGGAACAGGACGUCACAGAGGGUGAGAAUCCCGUGCGAUGGGGAGACCAAUUCUAUGUAAAGUUCCUUCGAAGAGUCGAGUUGUUUGGGAAUGCAGCUCUAAGUGGGUGGUAAAUUCCAUCUAAAGCUAAAUAUUGGCGAGAGACCGAUAGCGAACAAGUACAGUGAUGGAAAGAUGAAAAGAACUUUGAAAAGAGAGUGAAAAAGUACGUGAAAUUGUUGAAAGGGAAGGACUUUUGAUCAGACUUGGUGUUUAGUACUCUCUACUCCUUGUGGGUGGGGCUCUUGCUUUAUACUGGGCCAGCAUCGGUUUGGGUGGCAGGAUAAUGGCAUUGGAAUGUGGCUUCAUUCGUGGAGUGUUAUAGCCUUUGUUGAUACUGCCUAUCUAGACCGAGGACUGCGUCUUUUGACUAGGAUGCUGGCGUAAUGAUUAAAAGUCGCCCGUCUUGAAACACGGACCAAGGAGUCUAACGUCUAUGCGAGUGUUUGGGUGUAAAACCCGUACGCGUAAUGAAAGUGAACGUAGGUGAGGGCCCUUUUCUGGGUGCAUCAUCGACCGAUCCUGAUGUUUUCGGAUGGAUUUGAGUAAGAGCAUAGCUGUUGGGACCCGAAAGAUGGUGAACUAUGCCUGAAUAGGGUGAAGCCAGAGGAAACUCUGGUGGAGGCUCGUAGCGGUUCUGACGUGCAAAUCGAUCGUCGAAUUUGGGUAUAGGGGGCGAAAGACUAAUCGAACCAUCUAGUAGCUGGUUCCUGCAU